This 872-nucleotide ribosomal RNA is filed under the name uncultured bacterium. RNAcentral's name for it is "bacterial SSU rRNA". It matches the Rfam family "Bacterial small subunit ribosomal RNA", at positions 579 to 1451 of the family's 1533-position model. The record is from RNAcentral.
UCNGGAAAGUCUGGAGUAAAAGGNUAUGGCUCAACCAUAGUGUGCUCUGGAAACUNUCUGACUUGAGUGCAGAAGGGGAGAGUGGAAUNCCAUGUGUAGCGGUGAAAUGCGUAGAUAUAUGGAGGAACACCAGUGGCGAAAGCGGCUCUCUGGUCUGUCACUGACGCUGAGGCUCGAAAGCGUGGGUAGCGAACAGGAUUAGAUACCCUGGUAGUCCACGCCGUAAACGAUGAGUGCUAGGUGUUAGGCCCUUUCCGGGGCUUAGUGCCGGAGCUAACGCAAUAAGCACUCCGCCUGGGGAGUACGACCGCAAGGUUGAAACUCAAAGGAAUUGACGGGGGCCCGCACAAGCGGUGGAGCAUGUGGUUUAAUUCGAAGCAACGCGAAGAACCUUACCAGGUCUUGACAUCCCGAUGCUAUUCUUAGAGAUAGGAAGUUACUUCGGUACAUCGGAGACAGGUGGUGCAUGGUUGUCGUCAGCUCGUGUCGUGAGAUGUUGGGUUAAGUCCCGCAACGAGCGCAACCCUUAUUGUUAGUUGCCAUCAUUAAGUUGGGCACUCUAGCGAGACUGCCGGUAAUAAACCGGAGGAAGGUGGGGAUGACGUCAAAUCAUCAUGCCCCUUAUGACCUGGGCUACACACGUGCUACAAUGGUCGGUACAACGAGUUGCGAGCCGGUGACGGCAAGCUAAUCUCUGAAAGCCGAUCUCAGUUCGGAUUGGAGGCUGCAACUCGCCUCCAUGAAGUCGGAAUCGCUAGUAAUCGCGGAUCAGCACGCCGCGGUGAAUACGUUCCCGGGCCUUGUACACACCGCCCGUCACACCACGAGAGUUUGUAACACCCGAAGUCGGUGAGGUAACCUUUUAGGGGCCA